Molecule: non-coding RNA, 569 nt
Organism: Vicugna pacos (alpaca)
Lineage: Eukaryota; Metazoa; Chordata; Mammalia; Artiodactyla; Camelidae
Source: RefSeq, a predicted model, not a curated record
UUUACCAUCUUAGACUCAGACACGAUUUACUAGGUACCUUUCUUCAGUUAAAUCGUCUUUAAUGAAUGACCAAUAAAUUGAGUUGAGAGUAAAAAUCAACUUUGAUAUGUAAGUAAUUUUAACAUUCUUUUUAUCUUUAGCUCAUUGAAAACAACAGCAACAGCAGCAACAAAAACAACAGAUGCUUCACCAGGCCAGAAUAAAUAAGAUCAUCUAACAGUUUUGGUGAUUAUCAAUAGAACUGCUAUCAACAUUCAGGUCAAGGCUUUUGUGUGAGCGUAAAUUAACAACGCACUGAGAAUGGGAUGGCUGAGUCACAUAGUCUCCAUUUGUGAAGUUUUGAUUAAUGGCUAAAGCUGAAUAUCCCCACGUUACUCUGCACCUAGGAGGUAAUGACUCCAAAAUACUAUAAAGAUAAAGUUGAACAGAAGUUGAGUGUGAGCAGACCACCUCAAUGUAGAUAAGACAUCAGCUCUGUCAGUCCCCCAGAUCAUGGGGUAGGUAACUACUUUGUUUCUAUUUUCCAAGUUACAUCUUACUAAUACCAGUUAACUAGAAUUUGAUCAACA